RNAcentral lists this ribosomal RNA (468 nucleotides) under uncultured bacterium. RNAcentral describes it as "partial 16S ribosomal RNA". It matches the Rfam family "Bacterial small subunit ribosomal RNA", at positions 28 to 507 of the family's 1533-position model. The record is from RNAcentral.
GACGAACGCUGGCGGCGUGCUUAACACAUGCAAGUCGAACGGAAAGGCCCUGCUUUUGUGGGGUGCUCGAGUGGCGAACGGGUGAGUAACACGUGAGUAACCUGCCCUUGACUUUGGGAUAACUUCAGGAAACUGGGGCUAAUACAGGAUAGGAGCCCCUGCUGCAUGGUGGGGGUUGGAAAGUUUCGGCGGUAGGGGAUGGACUCGCGGCUUAUGAGUUUGUUGGUGGGGUAGUGGCUUACCCAGGCUUUGACGGGUAGCCGGCCUGGGAGGGUGACCGGCGACAUUGGUACUGCGAUACGGCCCAGACUCCAACGGGAGGCAGCAGUGGGGAGUAUUGCACAAUGGGCGGAAGCCUGAUGCGGCAACGCCGCGGGCGGAAUGACGGCCUUCGGGUUGUAAACCGCUUUCGCCUGUGACGAAGCGUGAGUGACGGUAAUGGGUAAAGAAGCACCGGCUAACUACGUG